Molecule: transfer RNA, 74 nt
Filed under: Verrucomicrobiota bacterium
Lineage: Bacteria; Pseudomonadati; Verrucomicrobiota
Description: Verrucomicrobia bacterium tRNA-Arg
Rfam family: tRNA
About the family: Transfer RNA (tRNA) molecules are approximately 80 nucleotides in length. Their secondary structure includes four short double-helical elements and three loops (D, anti-codon, and T loops). Further hydrogen bonds mediate the characteristic L-shaped molecular structure. tRNAs have two regions of fundamental functional importance: the anti-codon, which is responsible for specific mRNA codon recognition, and the 3' end, to which the tRNAs corresponding amino acid is attached (by aminoacyl-tRNA synthetases). tRNAs cope with the degeneracy of the genetic code in two manners: having more than one tRNA (with a specific anti-codon) for a particular amino acid; and 'wobble' base-pairing, i.e. permitting non-standard base-pairing at the 3rd anti-codon position.
Source: RNAcentral
GCCCCCGUAGCUCAGUCGGAUAGAGCAACGGAUUUCUAAUCCUUAGGUCGGGUGCCCGGGUCACCCCGGGCGCG